UGCAUCUAGAUUAGAGUUUGAUCCUGGCUCAGAACGAACGCUGGCGGCGUGGAUAAGACAUGCAAGUCGAGCGAGAUUUUUUCUUGUAGCAAUACAGGGAAACGUCUAGCGGCGAACGGGCGCUUAACACGUGGGCAAUCUGCCGAGAAGUGGGGGAUAGCUCGCCGAAAGGCGAAUUAAUACCGCAUGUGAUCAGAAUGGACAUCCAUUCAAAAUCAAAGUCGGGGCAACCUGACGCUUCUUGAGGAGCCCGCGGCCUAUCAGCUAGUUGGUGAGGUAACGGCCCACCAAGGCUUUGACGGGUAGCUGGUCUGAGAGGACGACCAGCCACACUGGGACUGAGACACGGCCCAGACACCUACGGGUGGCAGCAGUCGAGAAUUUUUCUCAAUGGGGGAAACCCUGAAGGAGCGACGCCGCGUGGAGGAUGAAGGUCUUCGGGUUGUAAACUCCUGUCAUUUGGGAACAAUGCGUAAAUAUUAACUGUAUUUGCGUUGAUAGUACCAGAAGAGGAAGAGACGGCUAACUCUGUGCCAGCAGCCGCGGUAAUACAGAGGUCUCAAGCGUUGUUCGGAUUCAUUGGGCGUAAAGGGUGCGUAGGCGGCGCGGUAAGUCGGGUGUGAAAUCUCGGGGCUUAACUCCGAAACUGCAUUCGAUACUACCGUGCUUGAGGACUGGAGAGGAGACUGGAAUUUACGGUGUAGCGGUGAAAUGCGUAGAUAUCGUAAGGAAGACCAGUGGCGAAUGCGGGUCUCUGGACAGUUCCUGACGCUGAGCACGAAAGCCAGGGGAGCAAACGGGAUUAGAUACCCCGGUAGUCCUGCAGUAAACGGUGCACGUUUGGUGUGGGAGGAUUCGACCCCUUCUGCGCCGGAGCUAACGCGUUAAACGUGCCGCCUGGGGAGUACGGUCGC
This 914-nucleotide ribosomal RNA is filed under the name uncultured Verrucomicrobiota bacterium. RNAcentral's name for it is "bacterial SSU rRNA". It matches the Rfam family "Bacterial small subunit ribosomal RNA", at positions 1 to 889 of the family's 1533-position model. The record is from RNAcentral. Lineage: Bacteria; Pseudomonadati; Verrucomicrobiota.